RNAcentral lists this long non-coding RNA (479 nucleotides) under Equus caballus (horse). RNAcentral describes it as "lncRNA (ENSECAG00000052667.1)". The record is from RNAcentral. Lineage: Eukaryota; Metazoa; Chordata; Mammalia; Perissodactyla; Equidae.
GCUGGAUGCUGUCCACAGGCUGCAGAGGAAUGAGGAGAAUCCUAUCAUUUUCUCAGAAAAGCUUAUGGUGUAUACGUGCUCACCGCCACCCCAGUCCUGCCCGCGUCUCGUCUCGGUGGUGUCAUCAGCACUCUGGGCAAGUUUGGGAAAACUUCCCCAACAUGUUGGAUCUUCAGGAUUCAGGCUGUCUGGAGUCAGGGCGGAAGUCCCCCUUCCCCGUGCGAUGCUCACAGGAACCUGCGCGCAGGGCCUCGCAUCUGCUUCAAGCUGAAGGAGCCCCGGGACUGGCCAGGAGGGGAGUCCGCUGGCCACUGUCGGCAGGCGGAGUGCGGCCGAGCCACUCCGACUCCCCAGCUGGCCUGUGGGCCCCCUCCCCGCCGUGGGCUAUGCCCUCAGCACCUCGCACAGCUUUUAUUGACAAGGUAGAGCCUUGGCAGCGUUGAGAACACUACUGGUUAAAAAAAAACGUUCACCCAGAU